ACCUUACUGACGAGUGCCAAGUAGCAUGAAACGCGAGUCCAAGGU
RNAcentral lists this non-coding RNA (45 nucleotides) under Schistosoma mansoni. Lineage: Eukaryota; Metazoa; Platyhelminthes; Trematoda; Strigeidida; Schistosomatidae. The record is from RNAcentral.